CCUGCUGCAAAAUGGUCCAAAACACCAACAGAUCUACCCGGGGCUCCAAUAUGGCUUCCUAUAGCUAGUUUAGGGCCCAUUCGGUUAGCCUGAAAUCCAUCCAGGAAUCGUUCCAGCUGAUCAAAGCUGGCUAGGAAUCGUUCCAGGCAACGGUUCCCUAGGAACCGAACGGCCCUUAGGGCCCAUUUGUUUCGGUCGGAAUGACCUGGAAUGCGUCCCAAUUCGGACGGAUUGGAAUGGCUUGGAAUGGAGUCAGACCUCAAUAAAAAUUGUUGUUCGGUUGAUCUCGUCCCGAACCAAAUCUGGGCCGGCUCGGUUUUACUCCUUCAAUCCCCACCUCCAACCCUCUGAAACGAAUCCUCACGCGAAACGACGGGCGGCAGUGCGAGCUAGCGACGCGUGAGGCGACGAGGCGGCGGCGCGAGGUGGCGGCGUGGCGGCGCAGCACAGCCCGGACGGCAACCCUCUCCGCCAUCUUCUCACCGUUUCUGGGAUGUGCAACUUUUUGGCCAGGAGAUUUCACUUGGCUGCUGAGGAUGCUAUGCUGUUGAGGACAUGUGCAGUCCUAAUGAAGUGACAUGUGCGCACAGUUCUAUUUGGAAUGAGCUAAAGAAGUUAGCAGACUGCAUACCUUUAUGCUUCCAUUUUGUUAGCGUGGAUCUGUGGUGACUCAGUUGUCAUUGUGUAGCUAAUUUCGAUUUUUUUCUUAUUUUAUAAAAAGGUGCUUGCUCCAUAUCCAAAUGUCAGACACCGGCCUACUGCUAGCUCACUGGACAAAUUUGAUGUAUUGUUUUGGUGAAAUGGCUCUGUUGAAUACAAAUGAUCAAGAACAAA
Molecule: long non-coding RNA, 834 nt
Organism: Setaria italica (foxtail millet)
Lineage: Eukaryota; Viridiplantae; Streptophyta; Magnoliopsida; Poales; Poaceae
Exons: 2
Source: RefSeq, a predicted model, not a curated record